UUUGGACCUUCCUUUGGACUUCUUGGAGUCGAUGCUCUUGCCCUCUGCAAGAUUUUGGCAAAUAGACUGCAAUUUGGCGUCAACGGAGGCAUGAAGGGGCUUGUACUCCCCAAACUCGCCGCCGAUGUGGGAUCCGUUGUGGCGGAGGUGAGGGAAGUUCAGCCUAGCAAAGUCUCCACGCAGCUUAUACGCCGCCUUGUCGUAGGCCAACGCCGCCUCCUCCGCCGUGUCGAAGGUGCCAAGCCAAAGCCGGGUGCGGUUCUUUGGCAAACGGAUCUCAGCGACCCACUUCCCCCAGUGGCGCUGCCUCACUCCUCUGUAAAGCUUGGUGGGCUUAGGAGGAGAGCCCACUUGUUUCAUGGGAACAGGCUUUGGGCCCAA
RNAcentral lists this long non-coding RNA (381 nucleotides) under Olea europaea (common olive). Its description in RNAcentral is "long non-coding RNA (OEUR_LNC005535)". The record is from RNAcentral. Lineage: Eukaryota; Viridiplantae; Streptophyta; Magnoliopsida; Lamiales; Oleaceae.